This 24-nucleotide non-coding RNA is filed under the name Mus musculus (house mouse). The record is from RNAcentral. Lineage: Eukaryota; Metazoa; Chordata; Mammalia; Rodentia; Muridae.
UGAGAAAAUGUGCCCCACCCCACC